GGUCAAGCGGUUAAGCGCAUACGGUGGAUGCCUAGGCAGCAGGAGGCGAUGAAGGACGUUGUAGCGUGCGAUAAGCUUCGGGGAGCCCGCAAACAGGCUUUGAUCCGGAGAUCUCCGAAUGGGGAAACCCACUUGGCAUAAGUCAGGUACUGCAUACUGAAUACAUAGGUAUGCAGGGCAAACCCGGGGAACUGAAACAUCUAAGUACCCGGAGGAAAAGAAAUCAACCGAGAUUCCCUAAGUAGCGGCGAGCGAAAGGGGAACAGCCCUUAAGCUUCUUUUGUGUUAAUGGAACGGUCUGGGAAGUCCGGCCAUAGAAGGUGAUAGCCCUGUACAUGAAAACGCAAUUGCAGUGAAAUCGAGUAAGGCGGGACACGAGAUAUCCUGUCUGAACAUGGGGGGACCAUCCUCCAAGGCUAAAUACUCCCUGCUGACCGAUAGUGAACCAGUACCGUGAGGGAAAGGCGAAAAGAACCCCGGUGAGGGGAGUGAAAUAGAACCUAAAACCGUAUGCGUACAAGCAGUCGGAGCCCGUAAGGGUGACGGCGUACCUUUUGUAUAAUGGGUCAGCGACUUACUUUCAGUGGCAAGGUUAACCGUUUAGGGUAGCCGUAGGGAAACCGAGUCUUAACCGGCGUCCAGUCUCUGGAAGUAGACCCGAAACCGAGCGAUCUAUCCAUGGCCAGUGUGAAGGCGAGGUAAUACUCGCUGGAGGCGCGAACCCACUAACGUUGAAAAGUUAGGGGAUGAGCUGUGGAUCGGAGUGAAAGGCUAAACAAGCUCGGAGAUAGCUGGUUCUCCUCGAAAGCUAUUUAGGUAGCGCCUCGUGUCUCACUCUCGGGGGUAGAGCACUGUUUCGGCUAGGGGGCUCCCAGGAGCUUACCAAACCGAUGCAAACUCCGAAUACCGAGAAGUGCAAUCACGGGAGACAGACAGCGGGUGAUAACGUUCGUUGUCAAGAGGGAAACAACCCAGACCGCCAGCUAAGGUCCCAAAAUUAUGGCUAAGUGGUAAACGAUGUGGGAAGGCAGAGACAGCCAGGAGGUUGGCUUAGAAGCAGCCACCCUUUAAAGAAAGCGUAAUAGCUCACUGGUCGAGUCGGCCUGCGCGGAAGAUUCAACGGGGCUCAAGCCAUAUACCGAAGCUGCGGACGCAAACUUUGUUUGCGUGGUAGAGGAGCGUUCUGUACGCCGAUGAAGGCGGACUCGAGAGAGCCGCUGGAGGUAUCAGAAGUGCGAAUGCUGACAUGAGUAACGAUAAAGGCGGUGAAAAACCGCCUCGCCGAAAGCCCAAGGUUUCCUGCGCAACGUUAAUCGGCGCAGGGUUAGUCGGCCCCUAAGAUGAGGGCGAGAGCCGUAAUCGAUGGGAAACAGGUUAAUAUUCCUGUACCGCACAUGACUGCGAUGGGGGGACGGAGUAGGCUAAGUGAGCCGGGUGACGGAAGUCCCGGUUUAAGUGAGUAGGGAGUGUGUUUAGGUAAAUCCGGACGCACAAUCCUGAGACACGAUGACGAGUGCCCACGGGCGCGAAGUCACUGAUGCCAUGCUUCCUGGAAAAGCCUCUAAGCUACAGGUCAUGCGCGACCGUACCGCAAACCGACACAGGUAGGCAGGGUGAGAAUCCCAAGGCGCUUGAGAGAACUCGGGUGAAGGAACUAGGCAAAAUAGUACCGUAACUUCGGGAGAAGGUACGCCCCUGAUGGUGAAGCAACUUGCUUGCUGAGCUGUUGGGGGCCGCAGAGACCAGGUGGCUGCGACUGUUUAUUAAAAACACAGCACUCUGCAAACACGUAAGUGGACGUAUAGGGUGUGACGCCUGCCCGGUGCCGGAAGGUUAAAUGAUGAGGUUAGCCCUCGGGCGAAGCUUUUGAUUGAAGCCCCGGUAAACGGCGGCCGUAACUAUAAACACCGUUGUAGUUACGUAAAAAAACUUGGCUAUAUGCUGGAAACUCCGGUGUAUCCUCCGAUACUCGCCAAUUCAUUGGCAGUGACAAUUCGUGAGGUGCGGACAAUCAGCAGGAAAGGCUCUAGCUUUGUUAG
RNAcentral lists this ribosomal RNA (2039 nucleotides) under Wenzhouxiangella sp. Its description in RNAcentral is "23S ribosomal RNA". It matches the Rfam family "Bacterial large subunit ribosomal RNA", at positions 1 to 1994 of the family's 2925-position model. Lineage: Bacteria; Pseudomonadati; Pseudomonadota; Gammaproteobacteria; Chromatiales; Wenzhouxiangellaceae. The record is from RNAcentral.